AAGAGAAGGAGCUGGUGAGCAAAACGAAAGCCCUAGCAGACCAGGAAUAAAAGGGUGGUGCACAGUCUGGUCCUGGAUAGCCAGCUGGAUUUUAGAAGGAAGGAGUAGAUGACAUUAAUGGCGAGAAAAACGGGUGGGAUUCCACGGCAAAAGAGUUCAACAGAGCCAACCCUUCGCGCGGGCAAGAUUAUGAAAGGUGAAAUUUCAGUUGCACCAUCACGAAAGAUCCCCAAGAAGAAAACGAGAGGGAGGCAUCUGAGGAAGGCCACACGGGCACCAAGUGGCCACCUACCAGAGCCUGGACACUGCACAGACAGUUUUUCCAGGAGCCUUAUAAUGAAAUGAAAGAAAUCAGAGUCUUAUAUCCAGAAGGGAAUCUUGUUUGAGUGACUCACGUUAUGACCAAGGAAAAUAAAGCCAAUGACAGAGGUUUACAACUCCUUUAUCCCACUUUCAAGUACCAACGAUUCUUCAGUGAAACCCACCGUGAACACCUCCUCUCGAAGCCAAAGACGACGCUCCCAUCCAGCCCUUCUGGGAUUUAAUGGAUUAUCUCCAACUAUUUUAUGGGAGACACAGGACCUCAGGGUCCUUCCAUCCGAAGCUCCUAAAGAUUUGAGCCACAUCUGUCUCUACUUAUUCCGAUAUUGUUUUGAAUUCGUCUUCUCUUGGAAGACACAUGACACUUGCACAGGGACAUCUGGGGACUCGUCACAAUCCCUGGGACAGUCCUGGGCACAGGGGAGCUCUGGCAGCCCUUCUUGUCUGCUUGUAACUGGAGCAAGGGAGGAAAUGAAAAUAAAUGCAUGGUCUCCCUCUGGUUGUAAUUAUUAAUGGUCAAUUUGCUAAAAUGGUAUCUGUUUAGAUGACUAAUAAUCACGGCUCUAUUAUUUGUAGAAUGCUGUGUUUUGUUUUGUUUUUAAUUAUGUCUUAGGUGAGUCUCUCAUUUGUGCUUUAACUCUAUAAAAAUGCCUCAAUUUCUCACUCAUUCUAUCCCAGGCACGAUGAAGGUUUGAAAAAGGUUGCUCCUAUAAUUUUUUUUUUAAUACAAGCUGCUGUUAUCAUGUCCGUGAGUCAUGUCCUGCAGAGGAAGUAUGUGUGGCACUCAGGGCAAGAUAUGAAGGGGAGCCCACUAGCAGGGGGGGCAACCCCUAAUUUGGGGGGCAUAAAAGAUUUUGUGCCUAGUGGCAUAACCCCCAGCAUGGGGAGCCCUUGGGAGACCUGGUUUUGGAAUAACCCAAAAUUGGGUUUCAAAGUGGGAAUUCUGUUUUUUCCAGUCAGACAACAUAGUUGAUACUGAAUGUUAUUUAUAGGUUUGACUUGAGCUGGUUUAAACCAUUUUUCUUGUUUCCAAUAAAUCAUUUCAUGGAAA
Long non-coding RNA from Lynx canadensis (Canada lynx), 1372 nucleotides. RefSeq lists it as uncharacterized. Lineage: Eukaryota; Metazoa; Chordata; Mammalia; Carnivora; Felidae. The record is from RefSeq and is a predicted model, not a curated record. The transcript has 2 exons.